GGAUUAAAGCAUGAAAGUAGAUCUGUUGGUGAAAGCUCUUGAGAGGUAAAGAGACAGAGAGAAAAUGAGUGCACCAAGCACUCAGAGAGCCCUUGGCUGCAGUGAAGCCUGCCAACAUUCACACCGCCUGAACGAGGACUCGGAGAAUUAUCUCAGGCAGAAGACACAAAUCUCUUGCGUGGACAGAGUAAGUAAUGGGCCAACAGCUCUCUUUUCUUUAGCAACUACUGGGUUGGAUUUGCUAAUAAUGAAGAGGUAGACAAAAAUUAACAUUGGAAGAAGCCACUUGCAGCUGCUUACAUUUAUAGCAAAUUUAAAUUUUGUAAGUAAAUUUUAAUAUAAUUUAAGCUGAAAUCUCAACAUCAAUAUUCCUACCAAAAAAAAAAUAAAAAAUGCUCAGAGCCUUGCA
RNAcentral lists this long non-coding RNA (409 nucleotides) under Anas platyrhynchos platyrhynchos (common mallard). RNAcentral describes it as "lncRNA (ENSAPLG00000020506.1)". The record is from RNAcentral. Lineage: Eukaryota; Metazoa; Chordata; Aves; Anseriformes; Anatidae.